AACGAACGCUGGCGGCAUGCCUAACACAUGCAAGUCGAACGGUGUUCCCGCUUCGGCGGGGGCAUAGUGGCGCACGGGUGAGUAACGCGUGGGAACCUGCCCCGUGGUACGGAACAACUCCGGGAAACUGGAGCUAAUACCGUAUGUGUCCCCUGGGACAAAGAUUGCAUCGCCAUGGGAGGGGCCCGCGUAGGAUUAGGUAGUUGGCGGGGUAACGGCCCACCAAGCCCGCGAUCCUUAGCUGGUCUGAGAGGAUGAUCAGCCACACUGGGACUGAGACACGGCCCAGACUCCUACGGGAGGCAGCAGUGGGGAAUAUUGGACGAUGGGCGCAAGCCUGAUCCAGCAAUGCCGCGUGAGUGAUGAAGGCCUUCGGGUUGUAAAGCUCUUUCGCACGCGACGAUGAUGACGGUAGCGUGAGAAGAAGCCCCGGCUAACUUCGUGCCAGCAGCCGCAGUAA
RNAcentral lists this ribosomal RNA (460 nucleotides) under uncultured bacterium. RNAcentral describes it as "partial 16S ribosomal RNA". It matches the Rfam family "Bacterial small subunit ribosomal RNA", at positions 28 to 523 of the family's 1533-position model. The record is from RNAcentral.